UACAGAGGGUGCAAACGUUGCUCGGAAUCACUGGGCAUAAAGCGCAUGUAGGCGGUCUCCUAAGUCUGGUGUGAAAUCCCUCGGCUCAACCGGGGAACUGCAUUGGAUACUGGGAGGCUUGAGAGUUGUAGGGGUGGACGGAACUCCAGGUGGAGCGGUGAAAUGCGUAGAUAUCUGGAGGAACACCGGAGGCGAAAGCGGUCCACUGGGCAACUUCUGACGCUGAGAUGCGAAAGCUAGGGUAGCAAACGGG
RNAcentral lists this ribosomal RNA (253 nucleotides) under uncultured bacterium. RNAcentral describes it as "partial 16S ribosomal RNA". It matches the Rfam family "Bacterial small subunit ribosomal RNA", at positions 524 to 776 of the family's 1533-position model. The record is from RNAcentral.